RNAcentral lists this long non-coding RNA (229 nucleotides) under Elaeis guineensis (African oil palm). Its description in RNAcentral is "long non-coding RNA (EGUI_LNC000449)". Lineage: Eukaryota; Viridiplantae; Streptophyta; Magnoliopsida; Arecales; Arecaceae. The record is from RNAcentral.
ACCGGCCCAGACCCUGCCACUGCCCUCCUUUUUGCUCGCGAGAUGCUCCCCAUCUCGCCCCGACGCCCUCACCCUCUCCUUCACCAUCCGCAUGCGCCGCUGCCCGCCUUUCUGCCCUCCACCUCUCCCGCCAACUCCACUCCCUUCUCCUCUGCCUCAGACUCGCCAUCGAUGUCUGCCUCCCCAACACCAUCCUCGAUGCCUAUGCCAAGGCCCCCGACCUCUCCUC